GCUCAUAAAGGUUUUGUUUGUUUUCCCUUCCUUUUGCAUGGAUUUCGGGGCGGAUUUGAUGUUCCAGAUGGAGGUAAUAACUUUUUCUUUUCCGAUUCAUGUGCCAUGUGUCUGUUUAUUUUAUAUGUGCUUCACGUCUUUGGUGUUCUAUCCUUUAUUGCAUCAUUAGGACUUAGCAGAGCUACCAUGAGUAGCUAUAGUCUGUUUAAUAUUUUCAGUAUUUGCAUUUUGCUUCUUUGUUGAUAUUAUACAAGUAAUAUGUCUGAAUUGGAUCCCAGUGAGAGAUUUGAUCGUGUAGAUUUUUCCAUAUUUCAAUUAGAAUGUUUUUGAAGGUAUAAAACGAAAUCUGAAUGCAUAUAUUUUUAAGUGUAUAUUUUUAUUAAUCUGUUCUGAUGCCAAUGGCUCGAAAUGCAUUGUUCCUAUCCAACACAGACUCAAGCCUAUAUAUUUGAUUUUCCAUAUUGGUUUCAUCAAACUGAUGAGCCACGAGUUGAUCUUUUCAUCUUUUUUUUCCUCUUCUGCAAGCUUGUAUUUGAUUCUUGUACAUAUAUGUUCACAUCAGACAAGAGGGUCUCAUCCUAUCCAUGGGAUGCUUUCCAUGAAUGUGGGAUGCUGGGAGUUGCUAAGUAGAGAAAGAAAAGUUGGAGGGGUUCAAGAAGUUUGUUACUUCCCAACUCUUUUGGAAGUCAGGAUUCCAUUUAUAAAGGCUUUAGUGAUACCAUGAAAACUGGGAUGCAGAAUCCCUACACCCGCUGAGCCUUCCAGCUUCAUCUUUCCAAACAUUCUCACUUGGUUGAUAUAACCUGGUUGGUUGGUUGGUUGGUUGGUCGUUUAAACAUGCCAUUAGUAUUGGUAAAGUAAACUUAAGAUUCAUAUCCAUUCAUACCAGAAAUGGAUAUAAAUUUCAACGAUUAGUUGUGUCAGACUUUGCUUCAAUGUAGGCAAUGACUUUAGGACUAUUAUAUUUAUCCUUUAUAGGGGUUUAUAUUUGGACAUGAGAUAGUUUUGAGUAAUUUGACAGGGUGAUAGUAAGGUAUCCGCAAAAGGUGGAGACAACUCUGCUAGGAAAGAUGCAGCAGGUCCUCAACCUGGUCCAAGUACCCAGGGGGUAUCAGUUAUUCUCCGAAUUAUUUUCUUUCUGGAAGAUUUCGUUAUUUUCAUUCGAUAUUUUUCAAAUUUGACUUGUAUAUGAAAUCAGCAGAUGGGUCAACAAGGAUCUUUUACUCAAGGAAUGAAUUAUAUGCAACCUCAGGUAUUCUGUAUUAAGUAUUUCUCUUCAUUAAAUCUAUGGUGGAAGCCCUAGAUAGUCUUUCAUCUUACAACUUAUAAAUAUUUGUAGACAACUUACAUUAGUCUUAUGUAGGCAUACUAGGGAUAAGGUGUUAACUUUGUGCUUCCGUUGUAGAUAAUAUGCUGAUAAUUAAGUUUUCUAAAUAAUGUUCAGUUUUUUGAAUACUUUCACAUGAAUAAAAUUUGUUUCUUGAUAGUGUAGCUUGCACAAGUAGGAGAGGAAAAUGGAUAGUCAUGAUGUUGAUGGAUAUGUGUUACAUAGAAAAAAUGAUGUAAUUGUGGCAGAUGUAUCAAAUAUAUGAGUCCUAUGAGCAUGGGAUGUCAGAUGGGUCAUAAAUUUGUCUAUUCUGGAAUUCCUUUUAAGAAAAGGUGUGCCAGAGGUGAAUGAAGAUAAAGAGCUAGGGAACAUUGUAAUUACAAGAGCUAUGUAGGUUCAUAUAUAUUGCAGUUGAAAUUUUACACCUGAGGAAGUAAAUCUAAUACCUCAUAAGCUUAUGUCUAAAGGUUGCUAAUCACAUGCAUAAUAGUCUGAUUUAAGUAGGAGGCAUGCCUCUAGAAAUAACCAAUUCCUGCUCUGUACUUGACCAUCGGUUAAUUCUUCCUCCUGCAACUUGAUUGCUGCCUUCAACACCUCACUCACUCAUGUUUGCUAUUUUUCAUAAAUUCCAUGUUCAAUAGAGUUAUUGCCACCAUAUUCGAGCUUCUGUGAACCAGUGUUCCUCAUGUUAUUCUGUGUAGUAGUUUUGAUAUGGUAUUCUUUAAUCUUGUCUAAAAAAAAAAAAAUCAUUUAGAAGAUUUUUAUUUUAUUUUUAGUCUUGAUUCGCUAUUACAAUGUGCAGAUGUACUUCUUGCAUAAAUUGCCAUAUCCACUAAAUCAAUCAUAGAUAUGCCUCGGGAAAUUGUAGUAUAAACUUGAUCAUUAAAGAAGAUGAUCUUUCUGCUGUUAUGUUGAUUUUUUAUGCUGCUUCUAUCAAUAGUUCUCCAAUGAGGUUGGCCUUGUAUGUUAUAAAUCAACCUCUAUGUCGAUAUAAUCAGCUUUCCAUACAUAAAAUUUUACAACUCUCUUUCUGCUUUUGUUUAACGUUUAGAUAUAAUGCGAGUUCCAUUUUUAUUCUUUGUUAACUAUGUAUAUAUUGAAUGGUCGUGAAACUGUUGAUCAUAUUCUCCCACUAAUAGUUGUUUAUCUUCUAAAGAUCAUUAUUUUGCUAGAUGCAAUUCUUUCUCUUCAUCUUUUCAGUACACAAUUCAUCUUGUUUCCUAUGAGUUAGUUGGUUUGCUGAUAUUAGCGUGGAAUUCUCCUUUUUGCCAGUUCCAUAAUGGGGAUAUUUCAAGCUGAAUGGUUAUUGGCCUAUUUCUGCUAGCUGUUCUCUAUUUCAGGUAAUAGCUCUUCCUGAUUGGUCCUCUGCAUUAUGUAGAGGUUCUUUGGAUAUCUUUUCUCAUUCAAGUAUCUGUUCUUGCUGAUCAGCAUUUGUAUUGUGCCACCAUACAUGAGCACUUCUCAUCCAGUGCUCAGAAUGAUGCUGCAAUGAGGACAUUAUAGAUCAUUUAAGAAAGUGAACCAUAGGAGUAGAAAAAAUAUGUCAUGGAGUCAACAGCUUGUUCUAUGACAUACGCAAACAAAUCAAAAGAAUUGUUUUGCUUACUUUGGGUUUGGAUAGCUCAAGAAAAUCAAAUAAUGACGGUUGUUGACCAAAGUAGUUUUCUUUUAUUCUGUUUAUAAUCUUCUGUAGUUUUAUUAUCUCAUUUAUUUGUGAAAAAAUGGCUAAAUGGGUUAUUUGCACUAUAGUUUUUACAGUGACAAAUACUUUGGUGAAAGCUUCAAACCUUCAUAAGAGGAAUGAUCAAGUUGACAAGAACAGUGAAAGAAAUUAAUACAUGCCAGUAUCACUCAGUAUGAUCAGGCACCUUGAUAAUCAUUUUGGAUGUCAACAUGCCGUUGCACUUUAUCUCGACCUACUUUGGUACCAACUGUCAUGGUCCUAUGGAAGUUGCCCUAAUUAAAGCAUGUGAGGCACCUAGAGUACCUCAGGAUACUUGGGGAGUUUCCUCUCCUAGGGGAGCUCUCUAUUUUCAGGAGUUGGGUUGCAGAUGAGGAUGUCUCCUCUUUAUAUAGACCUAAGCUAGGAUCCAGAGUGACAAGAAUCACCGCUACUUGUCCUUCAUCUAUAGAUGAGAACUUUCUAAAUUCAAGAUAUUUACAUGCCACCAAAAUAUAUAGGAAAUAUCUAGAAUAUGGCUGAAAUAUCUCCAGAGUCCUUGGGGAACUCUGGAAGCUUCUAGAGUCCUCUAGCAAUUGAGUGAAUUCUUGGACAAUCCUUUGUGAGGUUUUGACAUCUUGCUGAAGCUCUGUGAUCCCAUGCUUAGUUUUCCUUUUCUGCCAUCAAGUAACAUACAAACUGCCUUGAUUAUAAUAUUCGUUUGUUUUCGUAUAUUUGCUUCUCAAUCGUUGCUAUUCCUCUAGUUUCACUCAUUCAUAUGCACGAUCUAUUUGGUAAGAAAUAUUCGUAGAUGUUUCAGAUCUGUUUCCUUGGUAGGAAAAGAUGACAUGGAUACUGAUAAUGGUUCUUGAAAUGUUGCAGUAACUGGCAAGGAAUCAAAGUCUUCAUGGAAAGAACUGGCCUGUUGGGUCUACAGGCUAUUUCGCUGUUGAAACCAAUGAUAGAUCGCCUGAAGCAUACUAGUACCAUCUUCUUUUGGUUUGUAAAUUAAUUUGAAUAAAAUAAUCUAGACUUUGGGUGUUCAGAAACAUGCUCCAUGUCUUUCUUCUAUGUUGUGCACAUAUGGAUGUCAUAUUUACUGUUUGUUGGUUUCCUUUAGCUAACUUGAAAUGUUUUAUGGUCAUAUUGUUUCAGUCAAUAUUACUGUCUCUGUGCAGAAGCUGAGAGAGGGUGUUGCUUCUGUAACUCAUCCUUCAACGGAUUUAAGUAGUCUGAACUCUGUGAAAUAAGUGCUGCCACCAUCACAAACAAUAGACAAUGACUUCGGAUGAUACUCUUAAACAAAAUGGAGGCUGCUGGUCCUUUAUUAUUUUUGGAUCGGAACAUUUUGGCUAAUCAUCUUCUCAAUAUGGUGCUUCAUGAUGUUAACUUUUGUUUGUAUUUAGGAACGUCCGAGGGGGAGGCUGGCUGGUUGAUGGUUAGUUAACUUUAGUGACCAGCCUUGAUGAGAGGGUGUCUUGUAGCCCAAGUAGCGUAGCCAAAGAGUUCCUUGGUAGAUACAAUCUCUUGUAUGGAAGGGUUUAGGUCGCCAUAGAUGGCAUAUGAAACCCAAAAGUGAAUGCAGUUGAAGAGAGGUGCUACAAAGAUUGAUGCCACCAAGUAUUGUGCUGGUUUCCACAUUCGCAUGGGGAAUGGGGAAAUGGUGGUGACUUAAACCCUUUCUUGAAGCAUAGGGGAAUGGCUAUCAUGCUGGGCCACCGUUUUUCAAUUAUCACUAUCACAGUUGCGAGUUCGCUGGGCGGAGGUCUGGAGGACGGUUUUCCUGCAAAAAAGUAAAAACAAAAAUAAAAAUAAAAAUACGAAAAAAAAAUAAGGAGAUGAAUAGGAUGAAGGUUUGAUUUAUAGGCUGAUGCAAUUCCAUUGCUUCUGUCUUUGUUGUCUUCUUUUGCCCAUCAGGAGUUUUGUUUGGAUUGUUGUUAGACCACAAAUAGAGCUGCAAAUGGAUCGAGUCGGACUGGGGCAGGCUUGAUCUGAACUCAACCUAAUUUUCUAAUUUUCUAUUUGGAUCUGGAUCCACCCCAUUAUAACCGUAAUGGUGACUAAUGAUGGUUUCAAUAGGGGUGUAUUAUAGCGGAAUAACACCGAGGCAGGGGAAUAAUGCUAAUGUAGCAGUUCGGAUUGAACUCAAUGUAUCACAUUGGAGCCUGUUUAGCCAGUUGGAAGUCUAAUGCCCCUUGAUCAUGGGGUACUCGAACUUUGGUGUGGUUUUUGGUUAGAGCAGAAGAUUUGACAUGGGAUAUUGUAUGCUAGGCAAAUACUAAUUUUUUUUUUUUUUAAUAAGAUGGUCGCUUCAUACAACUCUAGUAUGAAUACAAUCUAAAAAAUCGGAAAGAAGAAUAUCACGAAAAAAUAAAGAUAAACAGAAAGCAUCCAUCUGGUGAGCAAUAAAUGAGGUAAUUCAAUCCGUCGUAUUAUUCACCUCAUGAUAGGUAUGCCUAAUCACAAAGAAGGAGCAUUCCUGAAGUAAACUCUGGAUGUUAUGCACCAAGGGAUGAAGGAACACCGCACAGUCUCGGUCCCUUUAAAUCUAAGAUACCAUCGUUCUCGAGUUCUCCUCAACUACCAGUUACUCUACCUUGAGGAUCAUCCUUGCAUAAACAAUACCCUUCCAGACCACCCGCAGCUCAGCAGCAGGCACAGAGGUCUCCAUGAGUUGGACUCCCUCCAUCACAAUAAAUCGAGAAUCGGAGUCUCGGAUCACAAAACCUGACACUGCCAUCGAAGUUGACCUUCAAAAAGAUCAGAGAUAGAGGCUUGUAAUAUGCUAUUCUAUGUCGAACCAUUUCUAUUUUUUUUGAUAUAAGCAGUCCGAUGUCCAUCUUGGGAUAGGCUUACUUCUAUUCUGUCCUUGUUUCACCCCUUUAGAUUAUACAUCUAAAAUAAAUUUUAUGUUAUAUAAAUAUUAUGAAGGCCAUUAGUAUAUUUUAUAUAGUAUUACAAGCAUAAACUUAUAAUACACACACAUUAUAGUACUGUUUGUAUAAGAUAUUAUUAUUUUUAGGGUUUUCUUACAUGAGUUCUCUUAUAAAUAUCUAAAAUGAUGUGUAUAUUUUCUUAAAUUUGUUAUUUACGUAUAUAUUUUUAUAAAUUAUAAUAGUACUAUAUUGUUUACAUAUAUAAUAUAGUACCGGUAUAAAUUAAAUAGUAUUAUAUUAUUGCAAACUAGUAUGACUGUAUAAUAUAUUAUUUUUUAUAUAUGGUUUUAUUAAUUUUUAAAAAAUAAUAUUUUAAUUCUAUUUUUAUUCUAAAUAUUCUGACCAGCAAACAUAAUAUGGCAGAAAUAUUUAGCAUAGUCAUGCUAUCCGGCAUAGCUUUCCCUGUAAAUACUCUUUUCCAUUUGCCCGUCACACGCCGCCUGGCAGAGGGAUGCUAGGAGGCGUAGUUGUCGAUCCCUGUUAGACAGCUGGACCACCUGGUACACCGAACACGAUCGCCUCCGCAUUCAAGCCCUGCCACGUUAAACCCUAUGCACGCACCCAAUAACCUAAAUGGACCCCACAGCCCACAGCACGUCUCGCUCGCGCUCGCAAGCGCUUCAAAAUUUUCAAAGGAAUAAAAUAUAUAUCUACAAGAGGGAAGACUGCUCGACGAUUUUUGACUUGAGAAACAAAUAUUGGAUCUUGUCCUCCUCCGAUCUCUACCUCUCUAAUACGAAUGGCCGAAAGUGCGAAGGUCUGGAUGCCGCAAUCGCCAAUGCAGGAGGACGCCCAGCCUGGUGAGGACUCCCCACUUCCUUCUCUCUUCUAGGGUUUUCCCCCGAUUCGGGUGAUCCGGAAGUUAGGGUGUUUUGAGAAAUCAGUCUGAAUGUACCUAUGCAACCUAUUACAGCGCCAGAUAAUGGGCAUUGGUUAUGAUUUGAUAGAUCUGGAAUGAUUUCUUUGAAACUUCUCCUUUUUUUACAAAUUUCUUGCAUCUUCUGUUGUCUUUCGUCUUACUUACCGAGAUAUUUGGUUGGUUCCAGAUUUGCAUCAUUGUUGAUGGAUAUUUUUGGAUUUUCAUUGCUGGGAAAACAAAAUCCUAUUGUUAUAGCCGGGUCUGAUGUAAAUGACGAACUUUAACCUGCAGGUGAUUUUUGGUACUGUGAAAAAGUAGUCGUUUGAUGUGUUAGGAUUCCACCAUUCCUGAUGCAUAAAUGGCUUUUAGUGUUGGGGUUUGAUUCAUUAAACCAAUUUGAAUUUUUCCCUUUUUUUGGCGUUUUCUGGCCUAUUUCCUCCACAUAUCCUGAUUCCCUCGACUUCUAUUGUUCUUAUUUUGGAAUAAUUCCGGAUUUUGAUGUUUUUUCUAUGAUUUUCUGGAUUAUUGUUGUCGUGGAAUCAGUACUCAGUCACCAAAAUGAACAAACUGGUGUUUAUGGUGCACUUUGGAUUUCAUAUAUAGAUCUUGGAGUCGCGAUUAUUAUUCACCAUAUAAUAUGAGGCAUGGCGAACCUUUGGCAUUUGUUUCCCACAUGGCUGUUGAUGUUGCUGAAAUAAUCAUUUGUUCAAUCAUUGAGUUUGUGUUUUUUGUGUGGUUAUCAGAUGAUAACGUUGGUCCAAAACACUCUUGUUCGUCACCAAAAGAUGUGUGCAACAAGGAGAACAUAUGCACCGCUCAAGAGGACAAUUUGGAUGUGCUGGCCUCUUCUAAAGAGACCCUAAUGCAGACAAAGAGGGCUAAAAGGGGUGGAGGAUAUAACUUGAGGAAAAGCUUAGCCUGGAACCAAGCUUUCUUUAUGGAAGAAGGUAUUAAAUUUGCUACGGUAUUUGUACAAGCUUCUGACUCCAAGUUCUCAAAAAUUUAUCACUUUGAACAGGUGUCCUGAAUCCACUAGAAUUGUCCAUGCUAAGCGGUUCUGUAACCAAGUCAAGCGGGAGCUUUCUCUCUGGGAUCAGUGGGGAGAUGUCACCACUGAUGGAGUACCAGAAAUCUGGUGAUAGGAAUGAUGUUGAAGUAAACAUAAAUAAUAAAUCUCAAACAAAAUCUGAAAAAGAUUUCAAGGAUGGCAAAUUAUUUUCAAAUUCAGAAGCUUUAAUCAAAGAGGGGCAACGGCUACAUGUAAUUACUCAGUUCAACUUGGAUCCAACAUUCUUUUCUAGUUCCUAAUGUAAAGAUGGAAAUUUUGGGGGCAAUUUUCAGUUUUCUAUCUUAUAUAUACUGAGUAACCUGUCUUGUUGUGAACAAAAGUUGCAGUGUAAGGUAGAAUUUCUAUUUGUUCUUAUCAUUAUUUGCCUUAUCCAGGCUUCUGGAAAGAUGCACUCUGGCAAAAGCAUUGCCAAAAUUGUGCCACAAUCACCAGCUUCAAUUUUAUAUCCUUUUUUGUUACUUCCUUUAAGAACGGAAAAUAUGCAGUAUCUAUUUGAUGAGGAAGUCCGGCAGUGUCCAAAAUUUUCUGUUGCUUGAGAAAAUUUUCUAACAGGUUAUUUUGUCAAUUUAAGGAGUUAUAGUUCUUAACACUAUUGUACACAGAAAAGGGUUGCAAAUACAAAUGCAACAAAUCCAACAUCGAAACUUCCAAAAUUCGUGCCUACAAGGUCACAUGCUUAUUCUCUACCCAUGACUUCCAGAAAUAUCAUUUCAACUCCAAAGAGCUUCAAGACUAACCAUACAGCUAGAGGUGCUGUUUCUUAACAUGAUUUGCUUUUUUGCUGGAUAUUUGAUGCGAAUUCUGUCUAUAUAUUUCUCAUUAAAUUUGCCAACCAUAUCAACUGAUUUGAGUUUUUUCAAUAAGCUAUUUUUGCUGCAGUUAAUGUUGACCAUGGCAUUGGUACAAGGGGAUUUUCUUCAAAUAAAAGAAUGGAACCUGGUUGUCCACCCUCAUCAGCUAAAUCUUCUUCACAUGAUCUUAGCAAGCACUUGGUUAGGACUAAGGAGCUUUUCCAGUUGUCUAAAACAUCAUAUAUGCUUUUUCGUGAAAAGCAGUUGCACUUCAAUUAUUUUUAAGUAUUCUGCUGGCCAAGUUGAAAUGAUUACUCAUGAUCCGGUGUAAUAUUCUUUUGAAAUGCUUCCAUUUCCAUUUGUAGGUUCCACUGGCUGAGAAAGGUACUGCUGGUUUUAAGAUGAAUCCACAUUCAUCUGGCUCUGGCAUGGCAUCUUCAUUAUAUCGCCAAAAUUCCUACCAAGUUAGCAGAGGACCUCCCUUGCCAGCCCAUGUAAAACCAUCAGCACUGCGACUGCCUUCACCAUCUUUAGGAUUUUUUUGCCAGGUAUGGUAACAAAAAUUACAUCCAUGGAUGUCUUACUUUAAGAAUCAGUGGCAUGGUGGACCCUUGAAGUAAUUUUAUAAAAAAAUGUAAAAUGUUUCCAAUUUGUUCUUGCAUCAUUUAGUUUGCAGGUAACAAUUGAUUCCUAAACCUGGAGAUUAAGCUUGAUUUAUCGAAUAGGCAGAAUUGGAAGUCAUUUGGUUUCAUAGACGUAUACAUGAAGAGCUAGAUAAAAGAGAUGCUAACUGUCAAAAAAGGAGCAUCCCAAUAGCCAUGCUUCCAGCAGGGUAGUCCAAUGAUAGUCCAUGGUGUAAGUGUUUUAAGGGAGUGUGCCAAUAACCAUGCUUCCAUCAGGGUAAUCCAAUGAUAAUUCAUGGAGUAGGCGUUUUAAGGGAGACAAGAAUUACCAAUCUGGUCACUUGCAUGACACCUGAAAUUUCUUUUUAAUAUAAAUGGUGACAUCAGCACCAUGAGAUGACAUUUGUUAUAAAUUUGUUAUAUUUCAAAGAUGUUGUUUUGAUGGAAUGUGGAAUGACAAGCAUAAUUUAAAAGUUUUCAUAACCCUUAGAAGUUAGAACAGUACCAGAUAUACAAUGAUUUAGAAAACUGUGUAAAAUUUGGUCUCGUCAUUCACUUGUUCAUUUAUUUUGUAUCCUUCAUGUUUAUAUAGAUGAGUUGGCAAUUUAAUUUUUUUGACAUGCAAAAUCUGAUCCAUGGUAGCUAACUAAAUUGGCUUACAUUCAAUUGGACAGCCAUUUGAAUGGCUUCUUUUCCUUGCCACUCUUUUACUUCUUUUUGUAGGGAAAAUUUUCUCCUUCCUAUUACAACCAUUCCCAGAGAAAUAUUCAACAGCCAAUGCCCAGUAUUCCUCCUCUUAGAAAGCCUAUUAGUCUAAAAAAGACUGAUGAGCUGAGACCUGCACCUUCAACUGGGCGAGAAUGUGCAGAGGGCCCUGUUUCAUCAGAAUCUUGUGCUAGGACUGUAGUUGUUGGCAGCUUGCAAGCAUCUUCAGCUGCAAACUCUUUGUCUUGUUCCACUGCAACUGUUGAUACACAUCCAUCUAUGAAAGAGAAUACUGGAACGAAAAAAAUGGAUAUGAUGAAUAACAGAACUUCUGGUUCGUGUUGCCAAACAAGCAGUCAAGAUCAGUUAGGCAGCAGUUGUUUCUCAGUUCGUGUCAACAUUGACAAGCAGUCACACAUGUUCUCUUUAGGAAAACUUGGUCGUCACGAGGAUAACUUUAUGUUGCAGAUUGACACAAAAUCUUCAGUCCAAGAAAGUGGAUUGAUUUCUGAGAAUAGUAAUGAUGCUGACCCAUCUACCGUAGAAUCUAGUGAAAGUAAAUUAUCAUCAUCCAAGUUUUCAUCACAAAUGUGUCCAAAGAAACUUGAAGGAAGUGAGUCAAAGCAACUACACGAAGGUGAUUCAGGAGUUGAUAAUCUGGAAAAGCAUCCACUGGUAGGAAAUCUGGGUGAUGAGAGUUCUCUCUUAAGCAAGGACAAACAAUCAGCUGGAAACUCUGAUUUGAUCUCAAAUGCAGGAUUUGGUUUCACAGCUAGAAAUGCUGACUUAGCUGCUUCACCGAAAACUGAAUCAUCCUUAAAAUUGAGUAAAGAGCAAAUGGCAGGUGCCAGUAUUUCUUGUAGCACAGAAUUGGAUUGUUCUUUAGAUGAGAAAAUGUGUACACAUGUUCAGAUCAUAGAUCAAGGAAGUGUCCGCCUGGCCAGUGGAUCAAGCAGUUCCUUGUCAGAGGAAUCUCAAUCUACAUUUUCUGAAGACAGGAAAAUUCAAGAUUGCCAAGCACAGUCUGAAGCGAAGAAACUGAUGGACUCAAUGGAAGACAAAGAGUUGAUGCCAAAGUAUGUAUUUAAUGUCUGUAAGCAAGCUGUUUUUUUCUGAAUAUUCUAUAAAUCAAUACAUGAUGCAUUAGUAAUAUGCUUAAUUCUCUCCUAUUGCAGCAAGAGUAAACUAAUGGACAGACUAAAGCUGGAUUUUGUUCCACCUAGACAUCAGUUACAUGCUGUACCAUUCUCAGAUGAAUGGCUAGCUGCUCUUGAGGCUUUUGGGGAGGUUAGUUUAUUGUUCAAAAGGUUCUUUGAGUAACUUGUAGUUUCUUGUCAUUUCACCACAAUCGUGUCACAGUAAUGUACGCCAUGUUAAUAGUAGCGUACACCCACCAAAGUUGAUAAGUUUACCAGCAAGAAAAUUGUUCUGUUGGUUUAUACGUCAGCAAAAUGAUUAGUGCUUUCGCUUUGCUUUUAACCUGAUAUUGUUUUAUAUGACCGUUCUUUGGCAUUCAUUUCUUAGAUUUCCUGACAUCAUUAUAUAAAUAAGAUUCAAGGUUAGUUUUUGAUUUAAUUUGUUUACUUCCCCAUUUGUUUGGGACUGAAAAUUAGGAAAAUAUUCAGAAAAUCUUAGGUACAAACUCAUCAAAUGUCAGGAUGUUGAAUCUUGGUUAGGAAAUCCUUUUGAUUAGUUAGUAGUCUGGUUGAUCUGGAUCCUAUUCAGUAGAAAUAUGUCAAAGAAGUCAUAUUUUCAGUAAUAGAUUGUAUUGGUAGGAUUUCUGGUUUUAAAAGGACUAUCUUUUCUUCCUUCAUGUUAUUUAGGGGUCUUUUGAAGUUUUUGCAUUAGGCUAGGGGAGAUUUAAAAAAUUACAACAUGAUUUUGAUUUAAAAAUUCUGUGAAAAAACCAUGUGGUGUAUUCUGCAUGCAUAUCAUCAUUCUGCAUUUCUUCUUUUUCCUUUUCUUCUCUUUGUUAUUUUCUUUCAUCUUUUUUGCUUUUCUUCUCCUUCCUAUGUUUUUUCUCCUCAAACUAAAAUCCUUACCCUGUCUCUGGGGCUAAAUCAUGUUCUUGUUCUGUUUACCAUGUGCUAGUUUGGCUCUAAAUUUCUAAUCAUGUUUUCAUUUUUCCUAAUUAUGUGCACUGCUCAAAACCUUAGUAUAUGUACUUGAUUAUAUACUUGUAUUCAGGGAAGUUUUGUAAUUUUCCCCAAAUCUGAAUUAAUCCAUGUAGUUUUUCUUCAUUUUUUUUUCAACAAAAAUGUGGGCAAGUGCCUAGAUUUCUAAAGUUCUGUAUCAUGUCAUUGUACAUGAAUUCUACUUACAUUUUAGAAAUUAGGCAAUUGCUGUGCUGAAGUCUGUAUGUUAAUUGCUCUUUGCCUGUUUUUACAUGUAAUGCAGGAUAAUGGUUAUAUACAUGAUUGGCAUUUCUUUUUCUUUUUCUUAUGUAUGUUCAAUUACAUGUCUUGACACAUUGUUGAUCUAACAGGAGAUUCUGGAACUGAAAACGGGUCCUGUGCAAAAUUCUCCACCUGACAGAGCUCUUCCAGAACCUGGUCCAUGGUCACCGGUAUGGUCCUCCUUUCAUUUGUCAUAUCAAUAUGCAUUUUGUAAGUCUAGUGACAAAAAUAUGCCACAUACAGAGUAUUCAAUUUACUUUAUGUUAUCUCAGACUUUAUGUCAACAAUCAUCUGUACAUGGUAUUUCUAAGUGUAGCUUUAAUUUUCAUACAAUUGGCAGUAGACAACAAUCAUGCCAAAACUCAUUCUUUUAACAUGGAAUGCAGUUGGAGAAUUUGGUGCACAUGACAAAUGUAAAAUUUGACACAAUGAUUGUCAGGUAAUAUCCUAGUGCUGCUGCAAGAAUGAGAAUUUUUUACAAGAGCUUUUUGGGACUAAGUAGAAUCAUUUUGAAGGAGGGGAUAGAGGUGUUACAGUUGGAAAGUGGAGCUCUCAAAAAAUCAGGAUGAAAAGAGCAAUUAUGGUGCACUAUUAAUAAUGAGAGUAAAUUAUAAAAAUCCUCUGAGGUUUAUGUUUAUUACAUUUACAUCCAAUAGUUUGAAAAACCUACAUUUACCCCCAACUAAACUAACAGCAUUAGUAAAACCAUUUGCUUUAUGUAAAACAUCAAAAUUGCCUCUAGUACGCUUAUAAACCAUUUUUCCUAUGUCUUCCUACACUGCACCUGCGGUAUGCCUAUAAAGCCCGACCACCCCCAUGUGAACCGCUCUAACACCCUCUACCUGUGCUCCUGGCGCUUUCCCAAAUCCAACCUCAUCCACUCCCUCUCCCUCCUCUUUAGCCUUGAAACCCCCCUCUACGUUGGUGCCGAGCCCAAGGAGCCUUUGAGAGGUUGAAGAAAUUCGAGAUAAUCCUUUAACGAUUGUCGCCGCCUUCCUCCCUCGCCGCCUUCCGAACCCUUGUUACCUACUGUGCCGCCAUGAAUUCAUGAUCUGCUGUAGCACCGAUAUCUACUCCAUGGUCCUCUGCGGUGAGGGUGAUUGAUGGUCGGAUCUUCACAGUCGUGGGCGGCAAUGGGGGGAUCUUUGCGAUGGAGUGCUAUGACUCAGCAGCAGAAUGUUGGUUGCUGGAGGCAGGGAUGCAUUGUGAGAUGGUGUGGUACAAUGCAAUGGUGGUGGGGCGGCGAAUGUACGUGACAAAAGGGUGGCAGUGGCCCUUCCGUGCAUCAUGAGAGCAAGGGUCCAUGAUGUGGAUUGGGACACGUGGGAGGAGAUGAGCGAAGGGAUGUGGGAGGGGUGGAUCGGUGCCAGCAUCGUCGUUGGGGACCGUCGCCUCAUCAUCACUGACUAUGGUUAUGGCCGGGUGAAGGCAUACAACAGCACGAGCAACAUGUGGCAGGGGAUGGAGGGCAGCAGUGUCCACUGAUGCUGAAGUGGCUGUACAUUGUGAGCGGUGUGGAUGGUGAGAUCUACAUGGUGGGGAGCAAGUUGGAGGUGGGGGUAAGGACAAUGAUGGUGGAGGCGGCGAGGGAGAAGGGGAAGAAAGAGAGGUUGAGGGUGGGGAGGGAGGUGGUGAAGGGGCCAUCGGUAUUUACUGAUCUGGUGUCUUGUUGCUCCAAGAUGCUUUAUGCUUAUAGCUCUCUGAGGUUGGAAAGAUUUUUUCUAUUUUUUUGGUAAAUCUGAAUGUAGUUGGAAAGGGUUUCGGGGAGGAUCACGAGGUGGGAGAUGGAGGCGGUAUUGAGGUAGCUGGGUGUGGACCUAUCGACAUAGGAGGAGAUGGUGGCAAUGUUUGCGGAGGCAGACUGCACUGGCAAUAGGAGCAUCCAACUUAAGGAGAUCAUGGUGGUGUGGUCACCCUUCAGGCCGCCCAUCAUACUAAGGCUACAGGGGAUGUUCGCUAUCUUCGAAGAGAACUGAAAGAUCUCUAUCGAGUAGCUCCUUGCCAUGUUCGUCAUCCUCGGUGAUAAGUGGUGUAUCUUGGAGAAUUGCACCAUAUCAUCAGUGAGGACCCACCGACGGAGGAGGUGGUGGCGAUUCUUGCCGAGGCAGACUGCAACAGUGAUGGGAGCAUCCAACUGGAGGAGAUCGUGACAAUAGGGUUGGCCUUCCGGCCCUCCAUCAUGCCUAAGCUCCAGGAGAUGUUCAUCAUCUUUGACACUGAUAGAGCAAAAAAAUAAUGCUUGGUUUAGUCUAGAAAUAACACAAUCUUCAUUAAUAAGUAAUAGAAGAAAACAUGGAAUAUGAAGAUUUAAAUAAAGUAUACUAAUUUGAUUCCUAAUAAAUCUAAGUCUCUCUGAUUAUUAGGAUAGGCUAGGAGCCCAUAUCAGCCCAUUUGUUGUUGAAGGUUAUUUUUGAUAUUUUAUAAAAUCAUUCCAAUGUGGCAUUUGAGUCCCAUUUAGAAGUAAUAGACUAUCUAACAAUAUGGGUUUGAGCAAGGUUUGCGGAACCGAUACCGGCAGUACGGUUUGGCACGCCCCCAUUCCAUUUCGAUCCGAGACAGACCGACGAAGGAAAACAAAGCCGAAUCGGAGAAGAAAAAGAGAGAAAGAGAGAGAAAUAGAGAGAGGGAGGAAGAAAGAAAAAGAGGGAGGGGGGUUCGUCGGAGGGCCUCUGGCGGGCCGUCGUGGCCCGCAGGCGGCGUUUACGCCCCCUGCGGCUCCACGGUGUGAAAUAGGGGCAAUUUGCCCCUGUUUCUGUAUUUUUUUAAAAAAAUAUUUUUUAAAUGAAGUCGGCACUAGAUUUGCCAGCAUCACUUAAGUGAAGCCGAUAAACCCCAUACCGGCUUCAUUUAAAAAAAUAUUUUUUUAAAAAAAUAUGGAAAACAGGGGCGGAUUGUUCCUGUUUCAAGCUGUGGAGCCGUGGGAGGCAUUUACGUCGCUCGACGGCCAUGACGGCCGGAGGUGCUCCGACGGCCCCUCCGAUGGACUCCCCUCCCUCUUUUUCUUUCUCUCUCUUUCUCUUCCUCUCUUUUCUUUUUUUUCUCUCUUUUCUUCUCCGGCAUCGGCAUGCGUCGUUUUCUAUGCCGAAACCAUCUCGGUUCUCCGUCGGGACGGUUCGGCACAUCCCGUAUCGGGCAGUUCGGCUCGGUACAGCAUUCUUUGGGUUUAAGUGUUGUCUUAAAAUGACUAUUAAGGAUGUAAGUGUAGAUUUUGGAAAUUACUAGGUAUAAGUGUAAUUUUGACCUAACUUCGAGGGAGGGGUUUAUUAUUUAUCCUUUAAAUAAAGCAUGCUAACUUGAUUCUUAAUAAAUCCAAAAGUCUCUUUAAUUAUUAGGAUAGGCUAGGAGCCCAUAUCAGCUCAUUUGUUGUUGAAGGCUAUUUUUGUCAUUUUAUAAAAUCAUUCCAACGUGACAUUUGGGUCCCAUUUAGGGGCACGGAUCCUCUGCGCUACAAAUUUUGCACCGCACGGUGCUGUACAUAGAUGGAUUGCAUCCAUAUGGAAUAAAGUGGAUCCAAUGAUAAGCAUUGGAACAUAUUUUUGAAGGGAUUUAAUGACCCUCCUUAAAACUAAUUUAGGGACCCUUCUCUCCUAUUAAAAUAUGAUGCUCGUUAAAAUAUGACACCCGUGCCUGGGGCUGGCUGGUAGCAGUGCCAUUGCCAGCAGAGAAGCUUCGAGAGAAGGGCCAGAUGUUGAUAUUAAGUUCCGCGGCACCGCCGCCGCUCCUUCGCUCUCACCGCUACCCCUUGUCCUCCUUCUCGCUAACUUUGAAUAUAUCCUUCCACCACUUUGACUAGGACGACAGCGAUGAUGAGAUCGACUAGGUGAUUGAUGCCUGCGAGGGCUCCAACAGAGGCGGCAGGGAGGGGUUCGAUGGAGGCUCGAUCGGCUUGGGUUCUGGGCUCAGUUUGGGUCGAGGCUUUGGCUCGGAGUGGACAACAGAGAGGUGGAGGGGGAGGAUGCUAUCGAUGAAGAGCUCGUCUGCGAUAAGUAAUUCUUGCUGGGGAUGAGAAGGAUUACCGACCACCUAGAACUUGAACUUCGAAGAUGAUGAGUUUGAGCUUCUUCUUUUCAGAGUCUUUGUGGAUAAAUCCAUAUCUAUUCCACAAAUAAUGGCAAUGGAAUAAAAGAGAUCAAAAUUGAGGGGUAAGAUAGGAGAGAAAUAUAUGAGAGGAAUAAAAACAAUGGGAAUGAGAGAGAGGAGGGGAGGGAGAAGAGAGAGGAGAGAAAUAUGAAGAGAGUUUUGGUGGGAGUGGAGAGUGGUGGUGGUGGUGAAUGCAAGUGCUUGGAGGAGGAGGGCAGCAGUGAGAGCAAAGGAGCGACGGUAUCGCGGAGCUUAACAUCAACAUCUAGCCAUUCUCCUGGAGCCACUCCAUUGGCAAUUGUGCCGCCAUCGGUCGGCCCUGGGCAUGGGAGUCAUGUUUUAACAAUCGUCAUAUUUUAAUCGAAGAGAAGGGUCAUUAAAUUAGUUUUCUCAUUAAAUCCCUUCAAAAGUAGGUUCUUAUGCUUAUCGUUGGAUUCACUUUGUUCUAUGUGGAUGCAAUCCAUCUAUGUACAAUACCAUGUAGUGCAAAUUUGCACCAUAAAGGAUCCACGCCCCCUAUUUAGGAUUAAUGGACUGUCUUUUGAAAACAGUAUGGGUUUAAGUGUAGUCUUAAAAUAAAUAUUGAGGGUGUAAUGUAGAUUGUAUGGAAACUACUGGGCGUAAAUGUAAUUUCGACCUAACUUUAGGGAUUUUUUUAUAAUUUAUCCUAAUAAUUAAUAUAUUCAAACACUAAUAAAACUUAAAACUAAUGUUACUAAUCAUCAAAUUCUCUAUACAGUUGAGUUUGAAGUUUAUAUUUAAGAAAAUGCUAAUGAAUAGUUAGAUAAAUUUACAUGAUAACAAAAGUUAAAUAGUAGAAUGAUGGCUUAUCACACUACUGGAAUUAAUUGAUCCUAUCACUUAGACUAAAUAGAUGCCCAAAAUUUUUAGGAACUUUUUGGGUUUCAGUAAUGAUUUUGAAGAGUUCUUGUUUACUAUAAAGGAGGCAAUCAAUAGGUUUCAUCCUUGCCAAGAAAAAAAAACAAUAGGUUUCAUGAAAUGUCUCUUUGGUUCACAUCAUAUGACUCAUAAAUUGCAAUUUUUACAAUUACCAUCUUUCUUCAUUCCUUAGUUUAAUUUAGUCAUAACUUCCAUAAUCUCACUCCUUAAGUUCCUAGGAACAGUACCUCUACCCUUCUUUCCAGUCUCAAUCUUCUAUCUAUAUCGUUAUGUUUUCUUAAUGAAGAUGCCAAGAAUAUUGUAUUGUUGUCUACAUAUGUCUUGUCCUUUGCCCACUAGGUACCUGAGCUUUUUUUCUUUAGAAUUCCAUAAUAUCUUCUUCUAUUUGGAUAGUCUUUGUACGAUCUUUUUUACCUAGGUGCACCAUAAGGCUAUCAAGGUUACUUAUUUGCUUAUUAUUUAUUUAUUUUAGGUUGCGUGUGCAUGUUGGGGGGGUGUGGGAGUGUUGCAAUUGAAGUUUAGGCCCUAGAGUAGGGGUGAAAGUAGACCAAAUAAUAUCUAUCCGGAUCUAUUUUCAUAUCAAAAUCUAUCCGAAUGUGGAUAAAAAUUCGAGCAUUCGACCAAUAUCCGUAUCUGUAUCCAUAUCCGUGAAAGAAAAUGCAUAUAGAUAUAGAUAGAUAAUUGUCCAAUCCGUAUCUGAAUAUCCGAUUCUAUUUGUAAUGCUAUGUAAUUUUAUAUAGGACUCAUAAACUUUUAAGAAAAACAAAUAACCAUAUAAUACGCUAUUACCUUGAUUUAUCAUUCAUUUAGUGAUAUCUUUGAUUCUAUGAUAAAGUUUAAUUAUCCGACUUAUAUCCAUAUUUUUAUUUAUAUUUUCAAUAUCCGAUUUGUAUUUGUGUCCGUUUGAAACAAAUAUGGAUAUAGAUUUUUAUAUCCUACUAACAUCCAUAUCCAUAUAUAUGUAUUCGUCAAAGAAAACAAAUAAGGAUAUGGAUAUACUAGUAUCCAAUUUGUAUCUAAUCCAAUCUCAGCCCCACCGUAGAGUAGUCUGGGCUACUAAAUUUUGGUAGCUCAUCAUCCAACUAUAGGCACGUGUCCCGGACAUGACCUGGACAACUCACCUGUCUUCUGUUCCACCCCAAGGAAAUCUUGUGCAAUCUACUUCAUGCAGUUCAUGCACCAGGGUAUUCAAGUCCACUUGAAAACCAGGAAAUCUUUGAACUCUAUGGGAUGUGUGCAGAUGAAAAUAUCUUUUAUCUGAAAUGUUGUAAUGCAAAAGCCAUUUGAAAAAUCAUAUCAUAAUGAUCUUAUACUUUUAAUAUCUAUGUCUUUGCUUCAUCAGUAUGAUUUAUAGAAAGAAAAAAGGAUAACCCUGAUAAGCCUACACAAUGUGGAAAGUUGUUCCUCAUUCCUAGGUGAGUUGACACUUUGAAAAGUUGUUCAUAUUGCUAAAAAGACUGUGUGAUAUUGAUGAUACGCCAUCACUAUAUGUUCAUUUCAAGAAGUUUCUAUUAUAGUACAAGUAGAGAUAAUGCAAUAUAAAAUUGCAAACACAGGUAUUUAAGUCUGCCAGAGUCUUGUUGGCUUAUUUGAUAAUUAGAUGCUUGUUCAAUAAGGUAUAUAAACUUCUAUUAGAAAUGUAAGUGAGCAUGGUGUCUUUCUAUUUAUGACCUUUCAUAGUUGACUAUGUGAGUAUUAACUAUUAAACUAGCUGUGCAUAUAGAGAUUCCUUUAUGUCGGUUUUUCUCAGAAAGUCCAGAAUAUUACAAUUAUGGAUCCAGGUGGAUCCUUUUGGACUUGAGCCACCAAUUUUACCUAUUACAAUUACAUGGUUCCAGAUACCUACUUCCAAUUGUGCCUAUUUCUGUAGGGGUGGUAUCAUGUCAUGGGACAGAAGCAAAACUAUAGGCAUCUAGGUGAAUUUUUGUCAUUUCUUUUUCUUUUAAUCCCUUACUUUCAUCCUUGGGGCUGCUGAGUCCGUUGAUGAAAUUCUACUUCUUGAGACCUGAAUUGGGAUUGUUUGAGUUAUUAAAGGUUGGAUCAUUCUUUGCUAUUUUCAGCAUAUCACCUUUCAACUCUUCCUAGUGACUGCAUCUCUUGGUAUAGGCAAUACAAUGCAACUCAUCUCUGCCAAGUGUCAUGAAAUAUGCCUUGCACGUUCAUGCUUCUUAGCAAAUUAUAAAGAAGAUCUUCAGAAGACUUGCAUGAAUAUUGGUGUCAUCAAGAACUUCAAAAAAUUGACACAAUGGAUUUCCUCAUCGGCUUAUUUCCUAUUUCCUUUUCUAGUUUUCUUUUGGUUGAGAAUUUUCAUGAGCAAAUGUGAUGGGUGGAUACUGCCUUCACUUUCAUUUCUUUCAGGCUUUUUGGAAGAUCAAUUCUAAUAAAGAAUGUUGACCUUGUUCACCACCUACUUAUGAGUAUCUUCACGGCCAUCAGCUAGCUCCUCUCAUUGCUUAUUGGUUAACAACCUAUGUAAUUGCUUAUGACAAAGAUUAGGCAAUGGAGUCUUUUAUUAUGCAUUCAGUCUGUUCAAUAACUUUUCAUUAUACAAUAAUGGUUGCUGCAUCAUUCCCUUCUAAAUCACAGGAAGAAACCUUCUUGUUUUUUUUUUUUCUGAAGGUUAAGUGUCAUUGUCAUCUAUUUACAUCACUAAGUUUAAAAUUUAAGUGUGUAUUUACUUAUGAGAGGAGCCACUAUGUGGGUACCUUCAGUGCUAAUAAGGUCGGUCCUGAUCUAAAGACGGGACCCAGUACUGAUAUCCAAGUCAUUGAAUAUAAUCUGCUAUAUUUGGACUGCUCAAUAUCAAAAAAUUAUGUGAUUUUGAGAUCCCUAUCCUUUGCAUCCAGUGAUCAAAAACAGGCAUUUUUAAAUAACACGAAAGAAUGCAUAUUUUUUUAUCCCUGGAUGCAUGGGUAAAAAAUCUCUAAGUCACAUGUUUUUUGAAGUGUGCAGUUUAAAGAUUACAGAUCACAUCCAAUGGUUCAUUGGUGGGGUCUCCAGUCACUUGGUUAAGAUCAACCUUAUUAGAGUUGUUGUCUAGGUACCAUAUAUUAGUUCUACUUUUAUAUUCAUGAUGGGGCUUGGUUGAUAUAGUUUUGUAUUAAAAUAAGCUAAAGAAAGAGUUUUAUGAGGUAGAUCAACUGAUGCGUGGUUGAGUCUGCUGUUUCCAGUUCCCAAGGCAUGUGUCUUCUUAGAAGCAGAACUCAUUAAUAAGCAGAAGACUUACCAUAUAUAUGAGUUUUUCAAUUGUCAUCAUCAUGUGUGCUGAAAAAUAACUUAAAAGCCUGAACACAGGAUUAAAGUAAAAAUUGACUAACUUUUCAGAAGAGAAAGCACAAGAAAAGAUGGAAGGCAAAGGUGAUGGCAUAGGGGAUGGCUAGUAUUAAAGAUUCAAUGAAAACAAAAGCUAGUAUUAAAGAUUCAAUGAAAAAGCAUGUUACUGAAUCAUCCUUAACACGUGAUGGUGGUCAACAGAAUACUAGUUAAUUGCUUUCUUCGUUGAUAGAUUAUAUUUGUGAAAUAGAAACUACUGGAAGUGCAUAGAGUUAGUCAACAUUUAUCUUGUUUCUUUUCAUCUAUUGCAUUGUGAUUUUACUUUUUCAAAUUAUGUAGAAUACUUUUGAUCUUUACUGGUUGGUCAGUUUAACUAAAUAAGCAGCUGAUUUGUUUGCUUAAUACUAGUAAGGUUACAUGUGAUUGUCUAAUUUAUGUGUGCUAUUGUUGACACAAUGUAUGGGGAUGAUUGUUGCAGGUGAAACGGAAAGCUAAAGACAUUGGACCAUAUGACUGUACUAAAUAUUUGAAAAACACGUCAACCUCAGAGUCCCACUAAAAUGUUCCAACAUCAAUGCAACUGCCGCUUUUCAACAGCUCUUGGACUUUCCAUUUUAGAUGUAGCGACUGCAUGUACGAGGCGAGGAAGCUCUUCUUCAUGGCCUUAACAUUUAUUUGUACCUACCACGCUGAGCACCUAACUGUAUAACUUCUCGAGCUAGUUAUAAUUGAACACAUUUGUUCUUCAACAGUAAACCAGAACCAGACCGUGAGACAAGUAACCAUUGCAAAAGAAAACAACAGUUUUGUCAAUGAAGUCUAAACAUUUGCUUGGACUUUGAGAUAUAUAUUCCCCCAACUAUUGAUACUAUUGAACUGUUUAUAUACAUAGCAUCCCCAGUUCAUGUGUGGUGCCAGCUUUCAUGGUCGUCAGCCAUCUUGCCUGUACUCCGGCUUUGUCUGGCUUGACUCUUGAGAAUGAGAAACCAGUUACAGGAUGUAAUGAUGAUUUAUUUGGCAGACCAAGGUUAUAACUUAGGUGCAACCUCGCGUCAAAACCAAUCACAUGAAGAUAACCGUUCCAAAUGCCAAUAGCCUUUGUGAUACACGCCGUUGUGGCCAGGGAAUUAGAAAAAUUAGGCCCAUCCAGAUUGUUAUUAUACAUCCAUGAGAAGUUUAAUUUUAAUUAGGAGAUCAGGGAUAAUGGAGUUUAAUUUUGCUUUUUCCCCUUUUAUUAUGUGAUAUUUACAUAUAUUAAUUAGUAAUAGAAUUAUUAUAACUGCAUUAGUACAAGCUGCUACAAUAUUUCAUGUAGAUAACAUAACAGCUAGCUUUACUCUCGAUGGUAUGUAUAGAUUUUUAUCCUGAACCUGAUAGGUUGAAUACUUUGACCGACCACUGCAGGCUUUAGUUACAAAUGAGGUGCAUGUGUCAAUCUCAUUAUUAAUUUAUGGAAUAGAUUUCUCCUAUCAGAGAAUAGAUAAUGUUAACAAUAAUUUUGAUGUUGAUAAUUAUGUAUACCAAUACUAAAACUGCUGUUAUCUUUUUGAUAUUUAUCAAAAAUAAUAUUUAUAUAUAUAUGCAUACAUCCAUAUAUACAUGUAUAUAUAUACGUACACUAUAUAUAAAAAGUUACAGUAAUAUUGUGCUUAUCAUCCCUCUGAUAUAAAGUCAUUAUUGACAGUCUUGGUCUAAGAAAAUCAUUGGAGCUGGAUCAUAGAAAUGAUAAAAUAUGCAGAUAUGAUUUCUUUUUUUUACUCUUUCAAAUGUUAGGCCUCAAGGCCUAGGAGGCGGCCCUCGAGGUGGGCAAUGUAGUACUCGUUCUCAUAAAGGAAGACGGUGUGGCCGUCGUGGUUGAGGGCGCACUAGAGAGGUAUCUCGUGGCCGAGGCCGACGAUAAGGAAGUCGCUGGAGGCACGCCGACGGAGCACGGCAGCAAUGGUGCGGAGGUCAACGUCGCCCAUCUUGUUGCUGGAGUUGGAGGCAACGGUGUAGUUGACGAGGGACUCGAAGAUGGGGUCGGAAAGAUGAUGGUUGUAGCGGA
This 22663-nucleotide long non-coding RNA is filed under the name Elaeis guineensis (African oil palm). RNAcentral's name for it is "long non-coding RNA (EGUI_LNC013655)". The record is from RNAcentral. Lineage: Eukaryota; Viridiplantae; Streptophyta; Magnoliopsida; Arecales; Arecaceae.